Molecule: ribosomal RNA, 429 nt
Filed under: Pseudomonadota bacterium
Lineage: Bacteria; Pseudomonadati; Pseudomonadota
Description: Proteobacteria bacterium partial 16S ribosomal RNA
Rfam family: Bacterial small subunit ribosomal RNA
Source: RNAcentral
UGGGGAAUAUUGGACAAUGGGCGAAAGCCUGAUCCAGCCAUGCCGCGUGUGUGAAGAAGGUCUUCGGAUUGUAAAGCACUUUAAGUUGGGAGGAAGGGCAGUAAGCGAAUACCUUGCUGUUUUUACGUUACCGACAGAAUAAGCACCGGCUAACUCUGUGCCAGCAGCCGCGGUAAUACAGAGGGUGCAAGCGUUAAUCGGAAUUACUGGGCGUAAAGCGCGCGUAGGUGGUUCGUUAAGUUGAAUGUGAAAGCCCCGGGCUCAACCGGGGAACUGCAUCCAAAACUGGCGAGCUAGAGUAGGGCAGAGGGUGGUGGAAUUUCCUGUGUAGCGGUGAAAUGCGUAGAUAUAGGAAGGAACACCAGUGGCGAAGGCGACCACCUGGGCUCAUACUGACACUGAGGUGCGAAAGCGUGGGGAGCAAACAGG